This 25754-nucleotide long non-coding RNA is filed under the name Coffea arabica (coffee). RNAcentral's name for it is "long non-coding RNA (CARA_LNC004024)". The record is from RNAcentral. Lineage: Eukaryota; Viridiplantae; Streptophyta; Magnoliopsida; Gentianales; Rubiaceae.
UUUUUUUUUUUUUUUUUUUUUUUGCCAUGAAUUGUCCGAGUUCUUUCCUUCCGUUAUCCGGUUCAAAUCAUCCCAGUGUGCUAAAACAGCAAGCAUUUUUUCUUUUUUCAUUAUUUUUGUCCCACCGUCAUUCUCUUUCUAAUUUUGUUAAAGAACAAAAUCGCUACGUUUUCAAUAUUUUUCAAUCACUUUUUAUCUCACAUGUAUCAAAUCGCUAUAGUAAUUUUUUUUUAUAAAAAAUCUAAAAAAAUAUAAUCCAAACACAUCCUUAACUUUAGCUAUUUUAAGUAAUUAUUCUUCCACCAGGAGAAAAAGAGUCUGAGCCCAGUACGCUGCUGCACAUGCAUUUAUCAGAGAAGAAGAGAUCCAUCCACAGCUUUUACCAUUUCGGUCCUACUAAUUGUAUCUUUGUACCGUCUCCUACUAAUUUGAGAUCCAUUAUUUGUUUAAUCUUUAUCUCGACAUGUCAUCCAGGUUUAUCUUCCAAACGCUACCGCCACGCGGCGGCAAUUGACGAAUUAUUCUGAUCACCUCUCCGACUCUCCCCUCCUCUCGGCUUUCAAGAAACCAAAAAGGAAACAAAAAUACGUACCGAGAACUCAAACCCCUCUUAUUAAAUUAGACAGACAGUCGGAUUACGUGUGCUGAGGUUUGGGGGCUUUUACGAUUUGCCAAUCGAGGUACACAUCACCAUUCAUUUCACCUCAAGUGUAAAAUGGAUAAAAAUACCUCCUGAAGUGAAGUGUAUGUAAUUCCUGUUGGUUGUCAGUCAACGGAGUUAAAAUUAAAUAUUUGAAUUAAUUAAAUAAUAUAAAAUUUUUUAGAUAAAAUUUGUGCUCGAAAUUACUUAUCACUAAAGGUUUGUUUGAUAACAUAAAAAAAUGCUGAAUCUAAAUUUUUUCAGACAUUCAGAUGUUUUGAGUGUUUGAUAAAUGAAAAUCCAUUUGCUAAACUUGUUAAGUAGUGUUCAACUUGUGUAUAUUUUUUUUCAGUACAAGAAUUCUAACUGAAUGCUUAAUUCUGAUAAGAAUCAAUAGAAUUACUUCAAUUACCUUGUUUUAUCUAUCAAAUCAACCCUUGUUUGUUAAUUAUGUUCAAAAUUCUUAUCUAAUUAAAUAAUGUAAUCUUUUCUAUCUAAUGAUUUUCUAUUUCUUUUUUCUCCUUUUUGAAUGGUUUUCACAUAUUCUCCAUACUUUUCAUAUAAUAUAUUUCAUCUUUUAUAUUAAUUUGACUUAAAAAUUAAUAUUGUCAUUUUCAUACCUAAUAUUUUUAGCUAAUUAAAUGAUAGGUUUUAUUUCUUUUUUGGAUGACAAGAUAUUUGGACAAAUUUGUCAAAUUUAACUUAUUAAGCAUUCAGUUAUAAAUGUUUAUCAAACAAUAUAAAUAGGUUUAUCAUUAAAAUCCAGGCAUUCAUAUAUUUCUUUUCAGUGCUUAAAAUUCAGCAAAUUAAUUAUCUCAAUAUUCAAAUUUCAGACUUCAGAAUUCAUAUUCAGUUUUAUCAAACGGAACCUAAAUGAAAUAUGCAUCCAAAUACAUUUGAUUUAAUAUUUAACAAUUUAAUAGAUUCAAACUUCAAUUUUAUCAAACGCCACCUUAACUCCAAAUUUUAACACGGAGAACUAAUGUGCUCUUAUAAUUGGAGGCAGCCAGCACUUGUUCUUAGUUGUACAUAUGAAAAAAAUAACUCAUUGUUCCUUCUCUCUCAACCCAAAAAUAACUCCUCCAAAAAAUUUAGGUGCUUCAAAAUUAAUGCAAUGAAAAAAAGUAAAUUACAUCCAAGACAUUUCGUACCCAAGAUAAAGGAAGGGAUGCAAGUAAGUUAUUCCUGCCAUUUGGAAAUAAGAUUAGUACUGCACAGCAGCUCAAAACACAUAUGAUAUACUUACCUUUUAGAGAAAGGGGAAAAAAAAAAAACAAUCAAUGGUGAUUCUCCAUUUAUCCCUCAAAACAAACAUAUUCCACUACUAAGGAAAAGAUAGCAGUCAUUUCACGUUAACCACAAUUUAUCUCAUCGAAUUUCCUUUCAAUGGCAGGGUAACCAGUAUACUAAUUGAAGAAUAAAUUUGGCAUACUAAUUUAUUCGUUGGCACCAAAACACUAAAAUGCAUUGAAAAAAAAAAUUUAUAGACACUAACAUAACAAUUGUAGAUAUUAAGAUAAUAAUGUAUAAAUAUAUAAAAUAAACUUUGACAUUCUUUAAAAAUCGCGUUUCACAUUAAAUGUCAUCCACGUAAUUUUAAAUCAAAUUAAUCAACCCAAUUGACUGUUAUCUACGAUUAAAACACUAAUGGCAGAGAAUCCACGCUCUUGUCGUGACAGGGGAAGCGGGCAAAUGCAGAGAAUCUUAGACUUUGUUUGGAAAGCAAAUUUUCAAGGAAAAAUUUGUUACGUUUUUUUCGUAAACAUAUUUUUCAACCACCUUUUUAUCUUACAUAUAUUAAAUUAAUAUAAUAAUUUUUUUAUAAAAAUAUUUCAGAAAAAUAUAAUCCAAAAAAAAGUCUUAAUAUGGAGGCCACAAGAAAGUCGAGAAAUGCGAUUUUCUUCAAAUUCAAUUAAUUACUUACUCUUUAAAAGCUUUUCUAAUCUAAAAUAUAAGAAUGAGACAAGAGAAUUAAUUGCCUAGGUGGUUUCCAAAAACCAAAAAGAGAGUCGUGGUUAGCAUAGAAGUCUAGGGAUGGAGAUGUCAUUCAUCCAAUGGUUAGCAUAUAAUUUUCCUUUCUAGCUCCUAAAAACCACCCGACUAGAGGCAAAUGACAAAUAGGAGUGUAGUUACUUCAAUUAAGUUAAUUAAUUUCUGGGGCAUUUAUAGUUUUAACUCUUUCUACAUGUCUUACUCUAGUCCAUUUCCCACUCCACCGCCUUUGGAACUCUAUCAGCCGUCGGUUUAAAAUUUUUUUUUAAAAAAAGUUAACCAGACAACCUUAUAAUACCCGGCUGUCACCCGUCCAGUUCAUCACAGCUAAAUCACAGCCAACCACUCUAUCCACCCUCCAUUAACAUUAUUACACGCGCCCAACAACGAACUAGUCUGCUCGGCUCCAAGAUGUCAGCUUAGCAAAUCCCACUAUUUUUGACCGCAUCAGUAAUGCAUAGGCAUAGCUCACAGUAUUUUAACCGAACCAGGGUUAGCCUAACCCAACCAUGAUUUAACCCCACUACUUCCCUGCUGUUUAUAUACCGACUGAAAGAAACCGCUGCCCUCAUCCAUCAUCCAGAAAGAAAAUCAACGCAACUGAAAAUCACCCCACGAAAAAAUGAUGAUCGGAGAGCGAAACCACCCAAACCCAGUUGUCCACGUUCCUCCAUGGCCGGCGUCAUUCGCCGAUGAUCAAACGGCCGAUGUUUCUAUGACCUUGAGCCCUAAUGCCAAUGCUCACUCUAGCCCCAGCUUCGAUGACUACUCCUUUUGCCUCCAGACCGAUGUUCUCACGGCCCUCCAACGUUUUCUGCCGUCCAACCUUAAAACAAACUUGACUGAUCUUGUACUGGAGGAUCUCGACGCCGCUGAAAACGACGACGGUUUCGGGAAAGACUUGGAUCUUCCGGUGGACGCCUACUCAUGCGAUCACUUCCGCAUGUUCGAGUUUAAAGUGAGGAAGUGCAUGCGUGGCAGGUCGCAUGACUGGACCGAGUGUCCGUACGCUCAUCCGGGAGAAAAAGCUCGCCGGAGGGACCCGCGCAAGUAUCAUUAUUCCGGCACUGCAUGCCCGGAUUUUCGUAAGGGGAGCUGUAAGAAAGGUGACGCUUGCGAGUUCGCACACGGCGUAUUUGAGUGCUGGCUCCACCCUGCUCGCUAUCGUACGCAGCCAUGCAAGGAUGGGCUUAAUUGUAAGCGUAGGGUGUGUUUCUUUGCUCACUCGCCGGAGCAACUGAGGGUUCUCAGCCCACGCGCUGAUUCGUACGACGGGUCUCCUCAUCGACUUGCUCUGGAGGCGUCUUUUGGCAAGGCGCUGCAGUUCAUGUCGUCGCCGGAAUCGGGCUCGCCGCCGUCCGAGUCGCCACCGAUGUCUCCGAUGACGACUUCCACCUCCAUGAGCUCUCUGAGUCGGUCCUUGGGUUCCAACUCGGUCAGUGAGAUCAUGGCGUCACUGCGUCAGCUGCAGCUGAAUAAGGUUCAGUCCGUGCCGUCUUCUUGGGCCUUGCAGGCGGGUGGCUCGGGAUCCGGGACGCCCAGGGCGGUCAUGACCCGGCCUGGUUCCUACAGCUUGCCAUCGACCCCGACGAGGACGGUGGGCCGGAACGGGAUGCGAUACUUUGACAACUGGGACAAGGGAGGGGGCGAAGAGGAGCCAAUGAUGGAGAGGGUGGAGUCCGGGAGGGAUUUGAGGGCCAAGAUAUUCCAGAAACUGAGCAAAGAGAAUCCCUUGGAUUGGGUGGAUCCGAAGCCGUCUGAUGCCCCCCCGAAUCCGGAUGUUGGGUGGGUGUCGGAUCUGAUCCAGUGAAGAGCUGGAGGUGGUCUGGACAUGAUGAAGCGUGUUGUUUUUGGGUAUUCAUUAGUAAUGAUUUUGUUGAUUUAAGGUGGGCUUUAGAUUUGGCGCCUCUCUCCCCAGCAUGUGACCGUAUAAUUUUUCGGGGAAGAGCGAAGCAGGGAAGGUUAAGAUGAAAAAAAAAAAAAAAAAAGAAUUCUGUACAUACAAGCGGUGGUAAUUACUAAUUAGUAGAAGUAUGAAAUAUAUAUAUAUAUAGUAAAGAGCAGUACCAAAAAUGGUGCUUGGCUUGGAGGGUGAUGAAGACUGGAGAGAGUAGGCAGAUUCUGUUGUCUUGGGUGGAAAGAAAGAUUGGGUGGUGUUUUUGGGCUGCUCAUCAAAACUGCCAAGAAGGGACUGGGUAGCACUUUAAGCGGACAGACUAACAGCAGCUGAAGAAGAUUGUUGUGUUAUUUAACUUAUUCCGGGUUUUUAUUAUUAUUAUUAUUAUAUUAUAUAAAUUGUGAUGAAAGUUGGUAUCGUGGGAUGAUAUGUAAGUAAAUUUGUAUGUAUUUCCCCAUUCCAUAAAAUGUCACUCCACUCCGUACUGUAAAUAUGGACGGACGAGCCAAGUCUCUCUAUGCUUUCUGUAAUUCCCCUAUGAAUGAAUGAUGAUCAAUAUGAUUAUCCCCGCGUGUAUUGCUGCUCUGCUAUCAUAUCCCCACAUAUCAUUCGAGGCUUCUACACCUUGGCCUUUUUUUUUGAAAUUUUGCCUUUGUUCAUUUUUCUUGUUUCUCAUCACCACACCACUGGAAAUUGUACUACUCUGUACAUAUACAUAGAUAGGUUACUUACUCGCAGCAGAAAAAAAACAUAUGGGGUAGUGGUACGGACAGAAGUGGUAAAAUAUAUAUGUAUAUGUAUAUGCAUGCCCAACAGGAGAUGUGUAUGUAUGAAUAAUGAUAUAUUUAUGUGUCUGGAUCGAAGAGACAGUGAUGGGAUUUGUGGGUUGGGAAGAAUGUGAGGUCCCCGAGGGGGGAUGGGGAGAAAGGAGGAGGAGGAGGUGCAGAAGUGUUGUGUUUUUAAGGGGGGGGGGGGGGGGGGACAGUUGAGAUUUUGCCUUUAGGAAAAGUUGGGAGGGUGGAGAGAUCUUCUUUUGUUUUGACGUGGCCAGGAAAUCUGGAGAAAAUUCUGAUGGUUCCUUAUCCCUUCACGGUGUGAAGACGCAAUGCAACAUUUAAUGGGAUUAGGAUGUCCUUUUAGAAUUAUGAAUGAAUCACUUGCAAAUGCGCUCUCCGUCCGUUAAUAGAUAUGUAUAGAGUACUUGGAAAAUUUUACAUAACAUAAACUUUCACAUCAUAAAAAAAAAAAAAAAGUAAUUCAUCUUUAAAAAUUGAAUUGUAGCUAGUAGGUAUGAUUGAAUUGAAUAAAGGUCCUUAUAGCAAAAAUUAAAGUCUCCUCCCUCUUUUGAUCGAGUCUCGGUGUAGAGAGAGGUGGGGGGGUCUUGUUGUGCGAAGUAAUAGUAGAGUACAGAGAGCAGGGGCAUGAUAUAUGAUGAUGGAUUUUGUAGCCGCCACUAGUAUAUAUUUCUUCAUACAUAUACAUCUUUACAGUGAGCAAAAAUUUGCCCGCUGUUCAUCAAUGCUUGUUGAUUUCCCCUACCUACGUACUAUUGCUUACACUUCAAACCAGUAAUUAAAUACUCCAGCAGUAUAAUUCUUUGAGCGCUUUCUUCUUCUUCUUUUUUUUUUUUAACCAUUUAAUUAUACUAUAUGUCAAUUUGAGCAAUAACUUGUAUGGAACUGCUCAAAAAGUCAUAGCGUCAAAAACGGCUUCUUGCUCAGUAAUUAACAAUUUUCUUAAUUAUAUGCAAAUAAAUAUUUGAGUGAUCUAUCAGACGGAACAUUAAUGCGCGCUGGAGAGUUUCGUUUAUCUUCUUCCAUUAUCUUUCUGUGUCAUUUACCGGCACAUCAGAUGGAAAUUUCAUCAAAUUUUCCGCAGCCAUAUUUCCAAGAUUCUUAAACCUUCUUAUUUUGUGUGCUUAUUUCCGAAUGAAUAUAACCACCAUUUGUCCGGUUGUCCUCUUUUUUUUUUCCCCAACACAUCCAUUCAUGUAAUUUUAUUCCACGGAUAAUAUAAUAGCCACCCGAUCUAUACAUUCAUUCUUUACCCAAACUGUACCAUAACUUGUCAAGAACGCCACUACACGCUCUCAAUGCUACUUUUAUUGAUUUCCCCUACCUACGUACUUCUGUCUGAUAUUUGUUCAUUGACUUUUUGGAUCCUCUUAUUCGUUGUAAUAUAUCAUCAACAAAUUAUAUAUAUAUUUUUUUAAAAAAAAAAAAAAAAAAAGACAGACAGGAAACCGGUUUUACCUUUCCUUGUUAUUGAUUUUUAAUCCAGUUUUCGCUUUGUUCUGGAGAGUCAAAAGAAAUAAAGCCAAACGUGUAAAGUGAGAUCACAUCCGUGACUAGGACAGCUGUCAAAAGUUCAUUGGAUAACAGAUUUACUAACCAUGAUGCGAACGAUAUAUUGUAAUUAACCCAAAAUUUCUUUGCUCCAUCAAAGGCAAUAAUACACAGCUUUCUCCCUACGGUUAGCGGGUGAAACUGAUUCAAACUACUCGACUCGAGCUCGAUAUGUAUUCGAUCAGAAUUUCGAGUUCGAUCUCGAAUACACCCCUAUCUACGGUACGACAUCGUGCCACCACCGUUGAUCAUGGCAUUAAUUUAAAGGUCGUGCAACUCCCGACCUAGUUAUUUUUUUUUUAUUAGUUAGAAGAAAAACAUACUAACCUUCGUUUCGUCGUAAAGCAUCAGAUAUUUAAUUCUAGCGCACAGUCUUCUAACUUUUGUUUUUAUUCACUAAUUUAGGCCAAGUAAACCAGCAAUCUGCAUGCCACGAGUCAUGUGGAAAUACGAGACAACAUCUACUGGUCUAGUGUCGUACUGAUAGAGUAUUCUGCUUUUAUUAAUAUUUAUUAGGAGCCACUUGUCUAAGAAAUUAAAAGCAUUUUGUCGGGCGAUUCCCCAGCAACACGUUGAAGUUAUCGUCAAUCCGGUCAACCGACCGACCGCAAGAAACGGGCAUUUGUUUUUGAGUAUCGGAUUGAACUCAACUGAUUGAAACCUGAAUCGGUCAUUGACUCCGAUCUAAUUCUAUAUUUAAUUCAAGAAAUCAAAUGAAUCGAUCGAUCAAGAAUUGCUCGGGCUGAUCAAAAUCGUAAAAAAAAAAAAAAAGAAUUUAAUUUUUGAACUGAUUUUUUACUAAAUAUUUCAUAUGUGCGUGCGUGUUACUUUUAUCCAAGUAAUUUAAUAUUAAAAUAAUUAUAAAUUCAUUGAAUUGGAAUUGAAUCGUGAAUAAAAAAUUCAUUAGACUCACUUACUGAUCCGAGUUUCAAAAUAUUGGAAAUAAGUCAUCUAAAAGCAUAUCAUGAGCUUGUCUCUGUCGUUUUGCUAAUAGACUAAUAUUUUUUGCGAUUAAAAAUUGAAAACCUGCUGAACCGUAAUUUGAAAACUUAUCGGAUUUAUUUUUCCGGUUCAAGUUUCGAACACUGGGAACGAGUUCUAUAUUCUGAGCUUGUCUCCGUCUUUUGCUAAUGGUAGUUUUGGGAUUAAAAAUUUUGAUACACCCACUUCGAACUUGGAAAUUCUAAUGCCAGUUGCGUUGAAUUUAGCUAAGGGCUUUCGGCUUCUGUGUAAAUCCAAUAUAGCUUUAAUGACUAUUUCUUCCCCCAAAAAAAAAAAAAAAAAAAGCUUUAACAAAUUGAUGGCCCAUUCAAGGUUAGUCAGCCCAACCUCUAAAGGAGGAGGAUAACGAUUUAGUUGUUCCUUGAAAUUUGAGAUGCCUCAUUAGCGCGUGUCACUUAAAUAGCCCAGGAUCAAUACUGCCCAUUUGAUUUUAGGCCCGCCCGCUUAAACAAAAAGUGCAGGAAUUGUUCUGGAGUGUUGGGCCGUCGGAGUUCUAAAAAUUGGUUUUUAUGUCUUUUGGAAAAUCUGCAUGGUUUCAUAUACGUAUCCUGUUUCAAAGUACAAUUGCAUGCAAGUUACCACAGUAGUUCAUUGAUUGGUAACAAUUGUUUUUAUACGAAGAAAAGUUAAAAUUAAAACUACAUGACAAAUGCUAUAUAGCAUUUGACUUGUGAUUGUUCGCAAACACACAUUCUGGACAGUACAAUAAAGAUUUUACAUGAUUUUUGACAGCUAAUACAUCGGAAAUAUUUGCCGGUGAACACUAAUUCAUUGGAGACUGAAGGGUUUUCCUCGAUUGUUAUUUUUGAGAAAAACGGAUUUUGUAUUGAGAAGAUGAUUUCAAAAUUUUUGAAGAAUCAAAUAAAAUCUUCAGGCAUCAAUUUCAUAAUCACCUAUUUGGACUGAAUAUGACUACGACAGAAGUCAAAGAAGCAAAAGGGUACAGCUCAAAAUUUCUUUCUUUUUUUUUUUUCUGGAAAUAUUUGCAUAUUAAGAUAUAAUAAGAUCAGUACUUUGUUCUAAGCAAAUCAUGAACUGAUCGGAAAGGCAAGACCGACAUUUCAGUCUUUUCGUUUGCAUUUUAAACAAAAAUUUCCCCGUUGAAGCGGUUGGAAAUUUGGCAUGAAAUGAUGUUUAUAGUCUUUGCUCUAGAAGGACACAUAAUUGUUUGAAGUUGAAACCGUCAUAUUGAGUAAAUGUACAUCGACUCAGCUGGUAGUUAAAUUUCGCUUUAGAUAAAAAAGAAAGGAAAAAUUCAAACCUACCCAGAAUGUAUGUAUACUUUCUGGUUUCUAUUUCUGUUAGUACAUUGGGAAGGAUGUUUAAAGCCUUUGUUCUUGAAGGACAGAAAAUUGUUUCAAGUUGAAACCGUCGUAUUGAGUAAAAUAUACGUUAAUUAUGGUGGCUAAAUUCCGCUUCGGAUUAAGAAAGAAAAAUGCUUAAUUUCUGGCUUCUGCUCGCACUUUGGAGAACUGCUCCUUCCGUGAAAGGUUGGAUCUCAGUUGUACCAAAAAAGAAAGGUCAAAAAGAGAAAAAAAUGGUAGCUCUAAUUGAUUAUACAGGUUUGCAUGAUGCGUUGCAUGAAAUGAUGUUUAUAGUCUUUGCUCUAGAAGGACACAUAAUUGUUUGAAGUUGAAACCGUCAUAUUGAGUAAAUGUACAUCGACUCAGCUGGUAGUUAAAUUUCGCUUUAGAUAAAAAAGAAAGGAAAAAUUCAAACCUACCCAGAAUGUAUGUAUACUUUCUGGUUUCUAUUUCUGUUAGUACAUUGGGAAGGAUGUUUAAAGCCUUUGUUCUUGAAGGACAGAAAAUUGUUUCAAGUUGAAACCGUCGUAUUGAGUAAAAUAUACGUUAAUUAUGGUGGCUAAAUUCCGCUUCGGAUUAAGAAAGAAAAAUGCUUAAUUUCUGGCUUCUGCUCGCACUUUGGAGAACUGCUCCUUCCGUGAAAGGUUGGAUCUCAGUUGUACCAAAAAAGAAAGGUCAAAAAGAGAAAAAAAUGGUAGCUCUAAUUGAUUAUACAGGUUUGCAUGAUGCGUUUGAUAGUGAAUACUGUGAAAUUUCAUGGCCAAAGUAAGGGCUUUGAGAACUUGGUAACUUUUUUUUUUUUUUCCUAAUCAUGAUUUUAUGUGGUCACUGUUUAUGGUUGUAACUUUUGAAGAGGUUUAUGUUGCAAUAAGCACAAUAAGUUUUUGCAAAUAAUUAAAGGUAAAUAAAAAUGAAAACAAAAUACUUUUUGGAAGAAGAUAAGAAACCGUUCAACCAAAAAGAUAAAUUAAGAUCAUAGUGGUGGUAUUUCAUGUAAAGUCUAUGGGAUUUGAUGCAUGGUGGCUGACCAUUACAAAUUUUCAUGUGUGAAUAUGUGAGGGUGAACAAAUAUUUGGUGGCCUCUGGUUUGAUAACAAAAGAAGCAAGGACUAAUUCCUUUUUUUUUUUUUUUGGAUCCUGGGGAAGGUCAUAGACCUUUACAAAGAAACCAAGCGGGGGUGUAGUCACCUCCCAUUACCCCAUUACUUCUGAAGCAAGUAAGGGCCUCAGCUAACUUGGUGGAUCUUCCAAUCUUGUAACGCCUGGUUUCGUAUGAAAACUUAUCUUGGCUAACCUGCGAGCACAUGAAUUGUUCUACUUCCAUGAGUGAACUAAUCUACACUCCCAACUUCUCUCGACAAGGACUAACUCCAUUUUAUACUCUCCAACUUGUACCUUAAAUUUCAACUUUAGACGCUUUGUACUUCUGAACACGUACCACUUUUUUACGUUGUAGCAUAAACUUUAAUUUUUGUCAUUUUGAUAUUUUACACUUUAAAUCAAUUUUGAACACUAUACAUACUAAACUCUCAAGUUGGUCUCAUUUAAAUGUAAUCAAUAACAACUCUAGCAAAAUUAACAGCAUAAAGAACUUGACAAAUUAAUGACAAUGUGUUAAAAGUGGUUAAAAGAUUCCAUGGCAUCGUGACCAAAAAUAAAAAGAAAAACACGUUGUCAUUAAUUUGUACCACCCUUUAUCUCAUUAAUUUUGCUUAAAAUAUUAGUGAUUGGAAUAUAGAAAUCAAUGACAAUAUUUGAAAGUAGUAAAACAAAAUCAAGGGAUUGCAGUUAGAAUGAAAUAAUACAUUAUUAUUAAUAUUCAUCGUCCUUUAACUUAUUAAUUUUUGCAAACGUUAUCAACUAUUAGAUUGAAAGGGGACAAACUUGAGAGGUUAAAGUUUAAAGUGUCCAAAAUUGAAAGUUUAGCGUACAAAAUGUUCAAAAUUAAAGUUUAGGGUAUAAAGAAAAAAAGUAGUAUCAGUUUAGGAGUGCAAAGUAAAGUUAAUCCAAGAGGUAAAAGAGCAUGUAUGUUGACUUGGAGUACUUCCUUUAGUCCUGAACUCCUGAUGAACCAACAUUGACCGAGUUACUCCAUUUCGUUUCGGAUAAACGGGCACACAUUAAAGGAAAAUAUAACUGCAGAAACUUUCCAACUGGGGUUUUGACAGAGUCAAGACAUGACUAAGGUCACUCUAAAGCUUUGUCCCUCUUCUUUUCGAUGCCUAUUUAAAAGGAUAGGGCAUAUUAUAAUAAGCCCACUUGUUUUUGUUCUCGUCUCGGUCGAGUUUUCUGAAGUUCCUUCGCUCUCUUUUUGGUGAUCAAGUAGUUGUUGGGCCUCAAAAUCGUACCAGUAAGUUAAUAUUUGUGGAAAUGGGAAGAGCUCCGUGUUGUGACAAAACCAAAGUUAAGAGAGGACCAUGGUCUCCUGAAGAGGACGCCAUUCUCAGAAACUACAUCGAGAAAUAUGGCACGGGUGGCAACUGGAUUGCUUUACCCCGUAAAGCAGGUCUCCAGCUUAUGCUUUUGUUUCAUUACUGUUGAUGCCUUUACAAGCCGUGUAAUGCAAAAUUCCAACUUAAUUGUGUUUGGUGGUAUUUCUUGGAUUGCUGUCCCGCAAAUAACUACUUAUUUUAACCUGCCUGCCUUUCUAUCUCCAUGACUACCCUGCCUGUUCAAUUUGCAAUAUGUACUUGAUGUUUUAAUUUUUGGAGUACCGGACAACUUGGAAUCUUGGAUGAUCCCCUUUCUGAGACAUUGCUGAUCUUUUAUGAUUAAGGUCUGAAACGUUGUGGCAAGAGUUGCCGUCUGAGGUGGCUGAAUUAUCUUAGACCAGAUAUCAAGCAUGGAGGGUUUACUGAUGAGGAAGAUAGUAUCAUAUUGACACUCUACUCUAACAUAGGAAGCAGGCAAGUCCACUAGACUCUUUUCCAUAAUUCUCCAAUCUCUUUUAACCAAUCCCUCAUAUUCUGAUCAUGCAAGGAACUCUUCAAUUUAUGCUGAUGCACAGAUGGUCGGUCAUAGCUUCACAUCUUCCAGGAAGAACAGAUAAUGAUGUGAAGAACCACUGGAAUACCAAGCUAAAAAAGAAGUUAUCGGCAGCAGGAGCAAAAAGAGCAGUCAAUGCCACCAAUCCAACAACCGUAAUACCAAUCGUCGACAGCAAUUCAAAUAACUUUACUAGCAAUCCCUCUGCUUUCACCUUAGCAACUUCAUUCAACAAACCCCAGCCAGAUUGUUAUGGAAAUUCGACUUAUCCCAUCGUAGGUUCAGAUGCACCCGUGCAAUAUUCAUCAAUGGAUCAUAUGGUUCCGGGGUAUAGUAUGACUGAAGUUGUUCCAGAUUUGCUUUACGACUCGUCAUCUACUGAUCAAUUCUCACUUCCAGAGCUCUUCGAAGUUCAAAAAAACAGCACGCUUCAGAAAAAUGGCUUCACCACUUCAUCAUCUCAAGAGAUUUCAAGCCUUUCACCUUCGUGCUCUCUUGCUAAGAGCUAUUCCUCUUGGAAUGACAACUUAUUUGGAGAAGAAGUGGGAUUUUUCAUGGAAUUGGAGUCUAGAUCAUCUAACUAUAAUCUCGUACAAAGCGCACAGCAAGAGGAGAAAGUCAGGAAUGAAGUUGAAGGUUCCUGUUUACCUAUCUAUUCUUAUCCUACUGCUAGUUUUUUUGACCAGAUGUCUGACAAUAUUUUGCCACCUCAAGGGCACCAUCAAACAGCGUUUCCAAUUCUUGAUUAACAAAAGGACUCGAGAUUUGUCAAACACCUAACUAGGAAUCUCCAAUAGUUUCCAAUGUUCCUAAUACGCACUUAUUCAUAGGAGAAUAAUAAUAAUAUAAGCUAUAAUUACAUUAUUAUGUCCCGGUUUUUGGCGAUGUAUUUUUCUUUCUUCAAGUGUUUUUAGACGUUCUUGAGUUACCUCUUUGAACAUUAUGCACAACGGAGGCAACUGCAAAUUGGAAAGUAUAUAUACAAAAAAAAAAAAAAGAUUUAUAAAUCAUCUUUGAAAUUGUAUUUAGCCAUAUUACUUGUGGAAGAUGCCGCCAUGGUCACUCUAGAGCUUUUAAAGUUUUCAGUUUAGUGAUUAGAACGAAUAGUUACUUACAUUUGCGACAAUUUCUUCUUUCAACGUUUUUAGGAUGAGGGAGGCUGACAUUCCAAACAAUAUGACCAGAUAAAACGUGGGUACAUUUAUUGGAGUGCUUCACGUACUCUUUCUCCAUUAGAACUGACGUUAGAAUGGGCAUUGGAUAACAACAAUUUGCAAUCUUGAAAUAAUAAUAAUAAUGUCAAAGGCAUCCUCAAGUGUAUUGAACCAGAAACAUAAUGUGUAGUUCUACACAGUGCAUUCGAUGUAAACCUAAAGUCGACGAAGCGCUGCGUUACGUUAAUGGAAAGCAGUUGACGAAGGUUUCAUUGUAUAUAAUUUAUGUAAGCUUAAGUAACCUGCACAGCUUCCUUAACUUUUGUGCAUCAAUUCUUGAUAAGAAGUUACUCAUCGUGCUUCCUUUUGCAUCUAAUCCAAGGGCACCAAGACCAUAGUGAACUCAUCAACGGACUAAUACACAAUUAGCCGAGUUUCUCAAAUGAUGAUAGUGUGUACAUUGACUGACUAUCAGUAUAUAUAAGAUUUACUCUUAUUAUUAUUAUGUUUUACUUUUACCACCGCGGCGGGCUGAGAGCCCUCAAUCCAUCCAGGUCAUGAGGGUUUGGAGCUGCAGGUUUAACAAUAAUGGCCAACAUCGCAGCCAUGGUUUCAGCGGUCGUUCAUUUAAUUCUGGCCUCCACCAUCGUGAGGGAUGACGCAGAAAGCAACUUAGUAGACUAUAAAGAACACGGAGCCCUGUUUAUUGAAUUCAACAUUCUUCGCAAAGUUGAGUACUACAUUGCAACGACUAGUGGCAUUUUUGCAUUGACAUAUUGUAGCUAAUUAGUACUCAUUCCGUCCCACUUUGAUAGUCUUGUUUUCCUUUUUCGUCUGUCCCAAAUUGUAGUCCACUUUCCCAUUAAGAAAUGUAGUAAUCUUUCAAAUUGUCUAAAAUACCUUUAUUAAAUAUCUUGUUAUUAAUACAUUGUUAUUAAAUACUAACCCACUACAUUGAAUACAUUGAGCUUUUCCAAUACUAACCCAUCAGCUGUAACUGAUAUUAAUUGGCACUCUUCGUGUUUAGCAUAAGGAUAUUUUAGAAAAUUAUUAAUCUAAAUUUAUGUUUCCAACCAAAUCAAUUACACUUUCUUAAUCUGUGUGAAAAAAAAAUCAAGACUAACAAAACGGGACGGAGGGAGUAGUAAUUUAGAGAGUGGAAAUAGACAGUUGGCUAAGAAGCAUGGCUUGGGUUUGGAUUGUAAAUUAUUUGAGAUAUUUUUACUGUAGUACUUUUUGUGAUGUGAUGUGAUGUGAUGUAUGUGAGGUAAAAAAAGUAAUUGGAAAGAUAAAAAUGUAUAUUAGAAAUUAUAAUGAUGAUACCCGAGUGUGUUUGGAUUGUGAGUUAUUUGCUUAAAUAUAUUUGCUUACAUCACCAUUACAAUUUCCAAUACACCUUUUUAUCUUCCCAAUUACCUUUUUAUCUCACAUACAUCACAUCACAAAAAAUGUUACAGUAAAAAUAUCUCAAAUAACUUACAAUCCAAACACACUCGAUAUAAACAAAAAUAUAUUUGAGCAAAUAAUCUCCUGUCCAAACACACUACAAUGGAAUCGAAUAGAAAAAUUAUUGUGUCUUUUUCACUUUUGGGUGGGAAUGGGCUAAUGAAUGGAAAUCCGCAAAUGAAAGUAGAUUUAACUAUGUAGUAUAAAAUUGGGUUUGAUGCUGGGCAUGGCCGAUUAAUUAGUACAUGCAAACAUUCUCUAUUAAUCAAGACCGACUUUACCGGUUUAGCUAUGUUGUUAACCAAUUGCCCCGUUAAAGAGGUAGCGUUUGCAACUACGAACCCUUGCUUGGGUUAAGGAAAAUAUACUUGUACGAUGCCAACAUAUUUUGCAGCAUACAUAAGAGCUCGGAAAACAACUACACAGCCUCUCGUCUUGUGCCGAAUUAGGCAUCGAGAUUACCAGAACAUCACGGUGACAUUUGUAGGUUUUAGUCUUCGUAGGAAGCCGAAUUCGCUUUUGUUUUGUAGGUUAGGUUCGACUGACCAAGCCGCUUUUAGAAGUCUUCUUUUUUGUUUCCAUUCCAAAUGGAAUUUGCUCACAUCUACCUCCCAUGCUCUGUAAUAUAAUAUGAUGACUACAGGACUCCAAAUUUCGGAGGAUUCUGAAUUCGACCUGCAUAAUUAUAUAAUUGAUGGAAUAGUAAUCAAGAUAAAUUUCUAUUAUAAUGCUCCUUAUCAAACUUUUUAAGAAUCUCUUAUGAAAUAUCUAGAAUAAAUGUUCUAUUGAUUUUAAUCCAGGGCCUUGAAUUCCAGCCGUCUCAAUUUCAAAGCGGAUUUAUUGUGGGAAGAGUGCGCUGUAACCUGUUGCUGCCAACCUGGUGGGGUGAAUGAUUCGCCCACUCAACUCCACGACCCCGAUGAAUGAUUAACCUACCUAGAAUGGUGGGAUCAAUAUAUACAAAGAUUAUAUAAUUGAUAAACAUAUAGAUAGUGAAAUGAAAACUUAAGCAUCAACUUAGAACAAGCUUACAAUUAGUGAACUUGAUUUUGGAUCUUUAACUUGUACAUUGUGGGAUUCACUCAUUCUCCUCCGAACGAAAUAUUAUUUGGGAUAAUUUCACUAUCCAAACAAACCUAGAUUGGAAAGCUCUUGCCUCCUAAUGAUGUGAUGGAUGCUAAUUUUCAUGGAAUCGACUUGCUGCCACCAGCUAUACAAGAAAGGCAACUCAGGCACACAAACACACAGGGGAUAUCUGAGUCUUAGGCCCGAUUAACCCCCUUCAGCUUGGGAGAAGACGCUUUAACUCACUUCGAGUACGGUAAGUAACUACGAGAUUCGAACAUUGGUCAAUACUUUAAAGAAGAACUACAUGACCGACCGAGCUACCUAGUGGGAGUAGGCACAUUUGUAUUCGAGAGGCACAUAAUUGAUUCUUUAUUUUCUAUAUUAUGUAUAGGCACGUGGAAUACAGGAUAGUAAAUAAAUCUCUAAUUCAUUUUCUUAAUUUCGCGCACUGUAACUGCCGCAAAAAGCGUAAACCAGCAUAUGUAAGCGGGUGCCUCUCAGUAAGCGAAAAUGUCGCGAGCUAAAGCGUAGAGGGUAGCAACUAGCAACUAGCAACUAGCAAAAGCUAAUUUCGUCAAAGGGGCAACAAAAAUUUGUUUCCCGCCAAGAUGGGCGAUUUCGGACGAAUAUAUAAUCUCUGCGUUUCUGUGUGCGUGCAACUCUUAAAAUCGUGUGACUACUGCUUCUUCUUCUUCACACUUCUGAACCCUGCUUUCGCCUGCAGCAUCAUCUGAAUAUUUUGCUACCAAUGGUAAGUAAAUAAAGCUUCAAAAGCUGCGUUUAGAUCUAUUUGAUUUUGUUAGUGUCGUCGAAGUCAUCCCUAAUCCUCAUUCUUAUCUCUUAUCAAUCAACCGUCCUUCCAAAUUUAGUAUUUUUCUCUUCUUUUUUUUGGGGUUCAAAACUUUAGAUGAAUGGGAUUAGUUCCUCUGAUAGGCUGAUAACUAAUCAACUUCCAGGUAGCUAACGUUUCAAAUUAGUAUUUUUCCUGAUUUACGUUGGUUUUAGAGCUUUUUUUUGGGUAUCAAGGAAGAAAUUGUCAGGCACUGUUAGAAAGAAAUUCAAUUAAACGUUUUUGGCAGGGGAUUCUAAUUUGUUGAACAGACUUUGUUUAUUUGUUUAAUUAAUUUAUUGUUACCAAAUUGCACACUUGAAUGAGGACAAUUGUUUUUUUUUUUCAAAUUUUUAUUAGUGUUUUUAUCAUUAAUCAUACAUGCUUAUGGUUUGUAAUGUGUUUGAUGGUGCUGCAGUCCAAGAAAAGAGGCCUUUCGUUAGAUGAGAAGCGCGAGAAAAUGCUACAAAUAUUUUAUGAGUCACAGGACUUCUUCCUUGUAAGUACACAAUCCUGCUUUGUUUUGAAAUUUAGAACUCAGUGCACGUCCUUCUGGCCUGGAUGCAUCAAAGUGUCGCUCGAUGGAAAUCCCAUUUACUGCAUUUGUUUCUUAGUGAUUUUAUUUGUUGUUGCAAUUGCUAAUUUGGCAACUGUUGAUUAGACUUGAAUGAAUUGUGAUGUUCUGUCCUGUACUGGCUGUAAUUAUGAAUGCAGUAAUGCGAUGUCAAAUGACAUUUUAGCUGAUGCACUUAACACAUUUUGAUUGGAGUACAUUUUGUAUUCGUUUGCAUUUGUAAAAUGUCUUCAAUUCCAUGGCACAUUCAGAUGACCAACUCAGAAUUGAUGUGAGAUAUUUUUUGAGCAUCUGCUUACUAUUUCCCAAGGCCCGCUCGUCUUUUUCCUGUUUAUCACAGAUGCUUAUGGUGUUAUGUGUAUGAUAAUCUGGGUAUUUCGGCCUUCAUGUUGGUUAAUCACUUUUGGAAAAUUAGUAAAUCCUAACCUAAAAUCCAUGGGCAGAACAAUCCUUUUAAAAGUAUGUCAUAGACUGAGAUUCAAUGGUACUGAAGGCGGCGCUGAUUUGCUUAAUUCUAGCAUAUAUGAAACCCCUACAAACCUUAUUGAAUGCCUGAGAACAUUUUAACUGAAUACUUUUCAUAUUUUGAUGGUGUGCCUUCAAAUAUUUAAACUCAUGGAUACUCCAUGUAUAUUCCAAAUAGCUGAUGUCCCCCCAUGGCUGCAAACAUUUUUGAAAGUUGGCAUAUGAUUUGUUGUCAGCAUGUUCAGUUAUUCUCGUACUAAGUCCCGCUGUAUUUUGCUCUAACCAAGGACAUAGUUUAGGUUUUUCUUCCUCUGCACUUUUUUAUACAAUUGAUAAUUUGCUGCUUAACUGGGAAUGCAAUGUACCUUGUUCUUUAAUAGAUGCAUGUGCUUUUGCUACUCUUCUAUUCUUUUAAUCUGCUAGAAAAUAAUUUUAAUGUCUUUGCACCUGAAAGGCUGAAACCACCUUUUUCUGCUCCUUUAUGAAUUGACAUUGUUCUUUUUCUUUUUCUACCUCUUGGAUUCUGAAUUUUUCUCAUGAGUUUCAGCUCAAGGAACUGGAGAAAUUGGGUCCCAAGAAAGGCAUUAUCAGCCAGACGGUGAAAGAUGUUGUCCAGAGUUUAGUGGAUGAUGACCUUGUUUCAAAAGACAAGAUAGGGACUUCUGUGAGUAAACUUGUCCAUACGGAGUUAGAAACGUAAUUCAUAUUUGACAUUCUGUAGCUGAACAUUACACAGUUUAUUUUGGUUAUACAAUGUUCCCGAACCUUUAUUCCAUGAGUUACCAUGUAUUCCAGGUAUACUUUUGGAGCCUACCAAGCUGUGCUGGAAACCAGGUACUAUUGUCAUAUAAUGCUUUUGAAAACCUGUUGUUGAUUUGAACUAUCCUGGAAUUAACGCCAAAACAUUACAGCUGAGGAAUGUGCAUCGGAAACUGGAAGCUGAUCUUCAAAAUUGUAAGAAGCGGCUUGCUGAACUUGAAGACCAAUGUCAUGCUUUGAAGAAGGGAAGAGAGGAAUCUGUAAUCACAUUCUAACCCAAUUGGCAAGUUUUUAUAUGCCUUGCAGUAAAUCCAUGUAUCUAACAUGUGCAUGUGUACUAGGUUGACAGAGAGAAGGCAUUGGAUGAGCUGAAAGCCAUUGAAGAGAAACAUAAUGAGCUAAAGGUUGACAGAUCUCUCCUCUCUCGGGCAUUUCUCUUAAAGCUACUGGUAUACAUUUGCUUAUUAGGUUCUAUUACGCCUUUGCUCCAUUUUUCAGGAUGAAAUGGGACAGUAUGCAGACAAUGAUCCAGCUACUUUUGAGGCAAUGAGUUGAGGGCUCCUACACUUUCUUUCCAUGCUUUAACUACAGUAUUUUUUUUGGGUUAAAUUCUUUUAAAAAUUAGUGAUUUUAAUGUCCUCUGAUGUCUAUGACCUCCUGUUGGCAGAGAAUGCAAUUGAAGUAGCUCAUGCAGCAGCUAACAGAUGGACAGGUCACUUUAUUUUAAUUUACUUUAUUUCAUAUAUGAUGAACGAAACAGCGAGAUUUUCAGAUUUCUUUCCCUCUCCAAUUAUCAAUUCAACAACUCGCAGAUAACAUCUUCACUCUGCGGCAAUGGUGUUCAAAUAACUUUCCCCAGGCCAAAGAACAACUUGAUCACCUUUUCAAUGAGGUAGUUGUGUUCAUUGCAAACAGUUUGCUCUUACUAGAGAAUGAAUCACACAAUUAGAUUAAUAGAUGUCCUCCAAAAUUUGGAGAGAGAGAGGAUUAACUUAAAAAGUGCUUCAUUUCCACGCAACAAGAUUUCUUAUAUUUAGCAGCUUCUCUUCAUGUCUAAAACAGGUUGGAGUUACGGAUGACUUUGACUAUUUGGAGUUGCCUGCAGUUGUUCCCCUUGGCCCGGGAGAGCAGACAGUCGAAACCUACAACUGAGUAUAUAACGCAGUGUCACCGGAAAGCUGUGCCCGCACCAAUAUACAGUAAUUAUACCAUUGAAGGUUAAGUGGUUCCAUUAAAUAUCAUUAACUGGUCCUGGGAUCUUCCCAACUUGAUCUUUAGACCAACAUCCUUGGCAUUGUGUGUCAUUUUUUCUCACCACUUUGUAAUGGUAGAAAGUGUAUAUUCAAUCUCAAAUUCUGAAAGUGGAUCACCUGAAAACCAACUGAAGAUUCUUAUAAAUAUUUGAAGUCCUUAGAAACGUGCAUUUAGACUUUGGACAGGUGCUCAAACCAUGGACAUUCUUCCCCACCACGCACCCCAGCCCCCAGCGCGCGCUCUCUCUCUCUCUCUCUCUCUCUCGUGUUUGCUCUUGCUCUCUUCGUUUCUCUUUGAAAGGAAAACAUGGAGUCUCCUCCGCCAUUAACUCUCUCUCUCUCUCUCUCUCUCUCUCUCUCUCUUUUAAAAUACAUUAUAGGUCCUGCAGCAUCACAUGAUGGUGGAUAUUAGUGCCUCAACUAUUGCAUUACUUACACACAUUGUUCAGUGGAAGUAAAUGGACAGUCAAUUGAUGGUACUUAAAUGUUUGGGGCCAGACCUACUGAAGAUUUAUUACAUGCAAGUUGCAGCACCCCUUUUGGGGUCAGACCUAAAUCCAUGGAGCCGUUGCCUCCAUUGUAGUCCGCCGAAAGACCCAGAUCCCAAUUGCUAAGUGAUUGUCAUUUCUACUUUAAUCUUUAACCUAAAUGUUUUUGACAGAAACUGAUCAAAAUUAAUCCUUAAGACACUUUGGAUGGAUCAGAGUUUUUGUUGAAUCCGUUGCUUCAAUCAAAAGCAGUACGAAUAAUUCACAGCCCUAUAGGCACACAACGUACUACUAUCAGGCCAGCAAGGAGGAGAUUUAGGGAAAGCACGAUGUCAGGGAAUGAAGGGAGACAGGCGAUUGCAUCUGUGGAGAAGAGUGGUAAUCCAAGAGAAUGAGGGGUAAUCCAUGAAGGUAAGAGCUGAGCAGAGUGGGAGGCAUUGGGAAGGGCUCAAAAACAAUGGAGGUAAAGGAGGGGGGGGGGGAGGAGGAGGGGAGUUGGGUUCAUCUCCAGGGACAAAUGAAGACAAGCUGGAAGCAUCUGGGAAGAAGAUGACCCGUAUAGACUUAGGUGUCUGCGCGUACCUAUUAUGGUGGGUUUGCUGUAAGUCCGAGGUUACAGGCUUCGUAAUCCUAGCAGGACUCCAACCGCUUUUAGAUGUGAUGUGCAUGGGGAUUUGCUGUCAUUUUUCAUUCUUCACCAUACAAGAGACUUUAGUCCAGUAAAACGAGUGAUUAAAAAGAAGACAAAACAACCUGUUUGACUUCCCUUGUGUUAAAGCGCUUUCAGUUUUCAAAGAUUUUGACAAAAUUUUGCCUCUUCAUCCAAUGAAAACGCAACCACUAGUUUGCGUUGUUUCCGACCAUAUUUUAGAAGCAUGAUUUAUAGCUGUGUAAUAAUCUCAUUGAACAUCAGUUUCCAAACUGACUAUUGAUCUUAGGUAAUACAUAUAAACACUUCCUAUGGUAAUAGAUAUAUAAUUGCUGUAGUAUUUGUUUUAAACAAUAAUAAUGUGUUUUCGGUACCUAUGGAUGCACAAUUAUAUUUUCAAGGUUAUAUUAUUUUAUUUAGCUAUUCUGUUUCCGUACAUAACCAUAUAUUUGGUAUGAGAAACACUUCCCAUGAUUAAUUCAUUACCUUUGUUUCACUCUUUAUAUGGGAUGGGGCCAAAUGGAGAUCAACUCACUCUUUAUAUCGCGAGGUUGGAGUUUUAAACCCUUUGAGUUUGGGACCUGCAUCUUUUUAAGUCCAUAUUUUUAAUCUAAAUUAGUUCUUAAGAUAAGACAAAAACAAUUCAAACACAUAUCUUAGUUAGAUAAAGGGUUUGAUUAUUCUCCACACUUUGGGUAUCCCUACCACAAAAGUGGGAUUUGGAAGGUGAAGCUCUCAGCCAUCCGACUAUAGAAAUUCAAGACUGCCAAUGCCAAAAUCCCAUAAAUAUAUAUAUAUAUAUAUAUAUGUUUUUCUAACGUACAAAUUCAUACAAUGCACAAUACGUUUUCCAAAUCUGCUGUGGCAUUCCAUUACCACAGAUAAAGAAAAGGCCAAGGCUUCACAGGCCAGAAGGAACCGCAAAAUCCACAUGGAAGAUUGAAAUUUGAAGAUGGAGAAAAUGAAAGGAGAGAAUAAUCUACUUUGGUGCAUGUGGGCAGUGGGAGGCAAUCAGCGCUUGCUGGACGAUGUAGACGCACAAGGAAUACUAUCAUUUUGUACAUGUGGCAGGAAAAGCAGGCCAACGGCCCAGAUGGGUUUAGAAAAUUAUGCAAAAACAACAACAAAACAUAUUAAUAUUGACAAAAUUGGUAGACGUCACUUUUCAAUUUCAAUUUCAAUUUCAGAGUCCCACACCCUUAAAAACCCUAAUCUCAAUCAAUCAAGCAAGGAGUAGGAAACCUCAAAUGAAUUCAUAGACUAAAAUAGUCAGAGUGAAGAAGGAAGGAGUAGGAAGACAAGCCACUUCGGGCAUAGGCUUAGGGGGGCGGUAGGAAAUUCGUAUCUCUGAAUCGUGGCAAAUGGAAAUGCUCAGGACAUGCUUUGUUAUGAUCACCAUUGCCCUCGUCUUCUCUCUGUUGCUUCCUUCCGCCAAUGCUGCUCAAGUUCCUGCCCCUGCACCUUCCCCAUCAAGCGAUGGUAUGCUCCAUCCCCUCUCUCCAAAGUUUUUGGCAACAUUUUUCUCUUCCGCUGGUUUUAGGCCCGCAAAUCUCAAGGUCUCAUGUUUAGCAUUCUCUUGCAUAAUUUAUGUGACAAGUGCUGAUUCUAAUCUGGUGUAAAAAUUUCUUUCCGCUGCAGGGGUUUCGGUUGAUCAAGGAAUAGCAUAUGUCCUGAUGCUUGUUGCUCUGGCAGUUACCUACAUUUUUCACUAGAGAGUACAUAGACAAUUCUGCUCUGUAUUUCAGCUCAACUCACCUUAGAUAAUGAGAUCCUGUCUUUUCUACAAUUAAUUCAAAGCUCAAAUCCAAUUCUUUCUACUUCUGAAGCUUGGACUUCCCAAUUUUGUGCACUUCUCUUAAAUCGCGAAAGGUCUGCACGACCAACCCCACUCCCAAAUCCAAUCACAUUACAGCUUCGGGGUGUAGGUUGAAUGGGAUCUUAAUUCUGCUGGCUCUAUGACAACUCUACUGGGCAAGUUUUGCUUGUAUGCAUUCGUCUCCUUGCAAUCUGUGAAGCUGUUUGAUAUUAUUGUUCCCAGUAAUUGCAAAUUUGGAAAGCUUCCAGUGCCAAGUAAUUUCUUUUUAGUCUAUUCGUAACAAAUUUGUUCAGCACUACUGGUAACAAUUUCUUGAAGGCUACAAAAUCUGGAAUGACGAGGGCCAGAUUGGUUGGCCAUAGUUUUUCAAAAUUUACACGACGCUAAACUGAGGUCUGAGGAUCCAGCCAUGUUCUUUUCUAUAACAGGAAUCUUGUUAAGUAUCAUAUUCUUUAAAUUUUUUCUAUAACAGGUAUCUUGUUAUUGGGCAUGUAAAUUUUUUUAUUUUAUUUUUAAUAAAAAUGUUGUUGGAAACGGGAUAGAAAAGCAUAGGAAAGUAACAUGAUAGAAAAGCAUAAUAUCUUGAAAAUAGAAAUGGCUCCAUUUGGAUUUGCAUUCUUUGAAAUGGUUUUUGGAAACGAUAAUCUAGGCUUUUAACUUUUGAACGCCAUGCAUGUAAAGUAAACAUGUAGUUGGAAAAAUAAUUUUGAAAAAAGAAUUAUUAGAGCGACUGUUUAAAAAAGAUUAAAAGUGUGAUUAUCCAAGCAGAGUUAUUAUUGCCGUCUAGGGAAAGAUUUGUUCAAAGUUCAUUGUGCAUUUUUAGUAAUAUCUAGUCUAUAAUAUCAUUGACAGAAUGUCAAAUACAACAGCUGGAAACGUUCAACAGUAUGUACAUCAGGGCCAGGCUUUCACCCUCGAGUAAGAGUCAAACUCUGUGGGCGCUCCCCGGACCGAAUCCGAAUUAGUCCGAAAGGGAUACCGGGUGGUUAGACCCAAAAAAAAAAAAAAAAAAAAAAGAGGAAUUGUUCCAUAGAAUGUAGUUUAGCUAAUGUUAUGACAAAAUAACCUAAGAUUUAGGGAUGGCAACGGGGCGGGGUUGGGGCGGGGGACCCCUCCCCCGUCCCCCGCCCCGUUGCCUAUUAGUUCCCCCCCGUCCCCCGCCUCCUGCUCCCCCCGCCCCGCCCCGCCCCGCCCCCGCCCCGCUUCCCCCGCGGGGUUAAUAAAAUUUUAUUAUAUAAUUUUAUUAUAAUUAAAUUUUAAUAAAUAAUCAAGUACUAAAAUAUCAACACAUCACCAAAUUAUUAUUCAUUGUAAUUUUACAAUUGAAACUCAUAAAAACAAUCAAACAAAAGUUAUUUGAAUACAAUCCAAUAUGAUGAAAUAAAUAUAACUAAAAUAGUCAAGUUUUCACUUUUAGUACAAAUGCAAUCACUAAUUCAUUAUUGUGUUUGUGCUUUUUUUUUUAGAAAAAAGUGUUAUUCUAUUAAGUGUAAUUAGAAAUUUAGUAUAAAUAUAUUAGUAAAUUUAGUAUAACUAAUUAAUAAAUUCUAUUAGUAGACAUGUAGAAUUAUUCAUAUAAUUGAUUAUAUCAAUUAUAUUACAUAAACUAAUAUACAUUAUAUAGUAUAUCUAACUAAUAAUAUCAUUAUCAUAAGUUUAUAACUAAUUAACUUACAUGUUAUAUAUAAUUAUAUAUAUUUUUAUAUAUUUUUUUUGUUUUGCGGGGGGCGGGGCGGGGGAUGGGGCGGGGGUAUACUCCCCCGGCCCCUGCUAAGAUUCACUGGAGAUUUACAAGAAACCACACGCAUUUACCACGUCUAACCGAGAUAGGCGGCCGGCAACGAGGAACGCCUCUUCUAGCCUAAGGGUGCAAGAAGAGAAAGCACGCUUAUCAAGUAAAUUAAUAUUUGGAUGCUUUUAUUUGAAGCGUUCACAGUAUUAGCUACUCGGUGUGUGUGUUCACCUCUCUCGUAUUCAACUACCCCCUCGUCCCAUUUUAAUAAUUUUAAUUUUUUUCACAUAAUUUAAAAAAAAGCGGUUAGAAGAGUAAAUUUAGCCUCCUCUUUUCCUAAAAUGCAGUUACAUUAAUAUUAGGGGUAUAAUUACUCAUAUACCUUUGCAUUAAUUACAACAACAAAACUAUUAAGAAAGUUGCACAAUUUAAAACAUGAAUCAAAACAAUUAUUAAAUGAAGGAGCUUAUAGUUACUUAAAACAAAGUACAUUAAAUAAGAGCAUUUUAUAGAAAGUAAAAGUUGAUUUAUAUUAUUCCAUUAGAUAGUAGACUAUAAUUUGCAGCGGAUGAACAAGAAAAACAAAAUUAUCAAAGUAAAAUGGAGAAAGUAUUUUAUAGGAAAUUUGCUCCCAUAAGAAGUCUAAGCAAAUAAAAUCUUUUCUAUAAUCUCAUGACAAAAUUGUAGCAUAGUCUUCCAGAAAGACCGAUCAAGCAUAAUUGCAAAAGCAAUGGAAGCAUAAAUGAAUGCUAAAUACAACUCGGUGAAUCUUUUGACCAAAGCCCACAACUGAAGAUUGAUGAAGUAUAAUCAAGAUCCCCAAGAAUUGACGCCAGCAACGUAUAGAAGUAGAGUUUUUUUCUCUGUGGACAGUCAGGAGGCAAGUAAACGAGCGAAGCACUAAAAAGAUUACAUACAUCUCGAGCAGUGAAGGUAAAAGUCCAUUUAUAAGCAUUAAACAACUUAUUACAGUGUCAGACAGCUCCAAUUUCCGCCGCACCACUUAUGUACACGGAUUUUCAUAACCAGCAAACAGGCAGAAAUCUGCCUAUGAAAACCACUACUCUCCAUAACGAUACACUAAACCUCCAAACAAUCUCACCAGACCAAUACCUGCAGAAAACUAAAUGUAUCACGACAACACAAAAAUACACUCCAAUGGAUCAAUUACAAAGAAAUUCUGUUAUUUAAUAUUUGCUGAAGUAACACUGGCCGCUAUAAAUUAUACACUAAAGAUAAUUGGGCCACGCAGUUCCAAAUGAUUCCAAGAAGCUCAGUGCUUUCAUCAAUGGCUGAAAACAGGGAAGAUAGAUACAGAUCCACUAGUGCCAUAAAUGCCACAUACACAAAUACAGG